This is a small nuclear RNA of Phyllostomus discolor (pale spear-nosed bat), 105 nucleotides long. The record is from RefSeq and is a predicted model, not a curated record. Lineage: Eukaryota; Metazoa; Chordata; Mammalia; Chiroptera; Phyllostomidae.
UUGCUUCAUUCAGCAGCACAUACACUAAAAUUAGAAUGAUAACAGAGAUUAGCAUGGUCCCUGCACAAAGAAGAAAAAAAAAUCAAACCCUGACUCUGGCCUUCU